This is a long non-coding RNA of Syngnathus typhle (broad-nosed pipefish), 655 nucleotides long. RefSeq lists it as uncharacterized. Lineage: Eukaryota; Metazoa; Chordata; Actinopteri; Syngnathiformes; Syngnathidae. The record is from RefSeq and is a predicted model, not a curated record. The transcript has 3 exons.
CGUAAUGCUUGGAUCUCAUUGAAUGCAGUGGUUAUGUUUGUCAUGAUCAUUUUUCAGCAACUGCUAUGACUGUAAAAUCUAAUAUUGCCCAAAUUUCAUGUCUAGUUGCCGAAAGUACUCACUACUCACAACCAGUUCUGACUUGAACCUUGAACGGAAUGAAAGGAGCUGCAGUGAAGAGUUCUCUGGAGAAAAGGUCGGAUUACCUCCCAAGGAGUCAUUACUAGCGAAGGCCUUUGAAUGCGUCAUUAAAUUGUCACUGCAGACCCUGACCUGCCAAAUUUGGCAGAUAUACCGUGGACAGGAAGAAGAAACACAUUCCCCUCUUUGCUGAUGCAUGCAGGAUAAAGGAGAACACGUUGUCCGUGUCCUGCUUUGCUCGACUUACACGUCACAUGGAAUCAAUACACAUGACGAUGAGCCAGACAGCCAGCCAGACAGCUCCCUGCCCUGGAUUUUUACAUGCAGACAAAUGAAUGGAAAAAAAAGAAAAACAGUGAGAUGGGGUUGCUAGGAGACCCGGCCCGAUGCAAACACUGCACCAUCUGCUGCAGAGAGAUUUGCGGCGGUUAAGCCAAGUCGGACGGAGCAGGACGGAGAGCCCCGGAGAAUCGUUGAAAACAACACCAAAAGGAAGACAGUUCUUGGACAUGCA